RNAcentral lists this ribosomal RNA (253 nucleotides) under uncultured bacterium. RNAcentral describes it as "partial 16S ribosomal RNA". It matches the Rfam family "Archaeal small subunit ribosomal RNA", at positions 474 to 727 of the family's 1478-position model. The record is from RNAcentral.
UACCAGCACCCCGAGUGGUCUGGACGAUUAUUGGGCCUAAAGCGUCCGUAGCCGGUUCUGCAAGUCUUCCGUUAAAUCCAGCUGCUCAACAGAUGGGCUGCGGGGGAUACUACAGGGCUAGGAGGCGGGAGAGGCAAGCGGUACUUUAUGGGUAGGGGUAAAAUCCGUUGAUCCAUAGAAGACCACCAGUGGCGAAGGCGGCUUGCCAGAACGCGCUCGACGGUGAGGGAUGAAAGCUGGGGGAGCAAACCGG